RNAcentral lists this ribosomal RNA (483 nucleotides) under uncultured bacterium. Its description in RNAcentral is "partial 16S ribosomal RNA". It matches the Rfam family "Bacterial small subunit ribosomal RNA", at positions 30 to 507 of the family's 1533-position model. The record is from RNAcentral.
AUUGAACGCUGGCGGCAGGCCUAACACAUGCAAGUCGAGCGGAUGAAGGGAGCUUGCUCCUGGAUUCAGCGGCGGACGGGUGAGUAAUGCCUAGGAAUCUGCCUGGUAGUGGGGGAUAACGUCCGGAAACGGGCGCUAAUACCGCAUACGUCCUGAGGGAGAAAGUGGGGGAUCUUCGGACCUCACGCUAUCAGAUGAGCCUAGGUCGGAUUAGCUAGUUGGUGGGGUAAAGGCCUACCAAGGCGACGAUCCGUAACUGUCUGAGAGAAUGAUCAGUCACACUGGAACUGAGACACGGUCCAGACUCCUACGGGAGGCAGCAGUGGGGAAUAUUGGACAAUGGGCGAAAGCCUGAUCCAGCCAUGCCGCGUGUGUGAAGAAGGUCUUCGGAUUGUAAAGCACUUUAAGUUGGGAGGAAGGGCAGUAAGUUAAUACCUUGCUGUUUUGACGUUACCAACAGAAUAAGCACCGGCUAACUUCGUG